CGCGUGGCAACGUGCCCUUCUCUGCGGAAUAGCCACUGGAAACGGCGAGUAAUACCGCAUACGCCCUUCGGGGGAAAGAUUUAUCGGAGAAGGAUCGGCCCGCGUUAUAUUAGAUAGUUGGUGGGGUAACGGCCUACCAAGUCUACGAUCUAUAGCUGGUUUUAGAGGAUGAUCAGCAACACUGGGACUGAUACACUGCCCAGACUCCUACUGGAGGCAGCAGUGGGGAAUCUCAGACAAUGUGCGCAAGCCUGAUCUAGCCAUGCCGCGUGUGUGAUGAAGGUCUUAGGAUCGUUAAGCACUUUCUCCCGGGAUGAUAAUGACUUUACCUGGUAUAGAAACCCCGGCUAACUCCGUGCCUGUAUCCGCGUUAAUACGGACGGGGUUAGCGUUGUUCGUAUUUACUGGGCGUAAAGCGCGCGUUGGCGGAUUGGAU
RNAcentral lists this ribosomal RNA (436 nucleotides) under uncultured Alphaproteobacteria bacterium. RNAcentral's name for it is "bacterial SSU rRNA". It matches the Rfam family "Bacterial small subunit ribosomal RNA", at positions 114 to 585 of the family's 1533-position model. Lineage: Bacteria; Pseudomonadati; Pseudomonadota; Alphaproteobacteria. The record is from RNAcentral.